Molecule: transfer-messenger RNA, 355 nt
Filed under: Gammaproteobacteria bacterium
Lineage: Bacteria; Pseudomonadati; Pseudomonadota; Gammaproteobacteria
Rfam family: transfer-messenger RNA
About the family: Bacterial tmRNA, also known as 10Sa RNA or SsrA, is named for its dual tRNA and mRNA-like properties. Its role is to liberate the mRNA from a stalled ribosome.
Source: RNAcentral
GGGGGCGACCGGUUUCGACGUGGGUCGCGAAACUCCAUGUGCAUGCCGAGGUGCAGGAUACCUCGUUAAACCACUUGCAAACUAUUAGUUGCCAACGACGACAACUACGCUCUAGCGGCUUAAUCCCGCUUAACCCCCGACUGGCGUGUGCUUGUGCAUCCAGACCCGGGGGACGCGCUCACAAGCUCGCGUGUCCAGUGUGCUGAGGGCUGGCUCGCUAAAACGUUCCUGAGCUGGUCGGUCAUCUUCCCUGCCGCUUGGGUAGUGAACGACGAGAAUCAAAAAGACGGCUAAGCAUGUAGGUCCUGGAAUGUAGGGCUUGCGGACGCGGGUUCGAUUCCCGCCGCCUCCACCA